AUCAAGGCGCGUUCCUCCGUACAGUACUCCGGCAGGGCUUAUAUAGGCAAUCCAAACCCAGCCCAAGCAAACCUCCCCAAACCCAACACUUGCAGCAUGUCCAAAAUGGGAGACAGGCGCCUGAGUAACCCGGGCCAAGACGCCGAAAGGAGCCUGUUUGCGUACUGCGGCUGCCCUGUGAUUCUGGAUCUUGUCUCCUGGCCGGCGCCUCGAUUCCUACCCAGCUGGAUUGGGGGGCAACACUGCCUGGCGCAGCCAAGAGAGCGAAUGAGACCACAAAGAAGCAUAAAAUGAAUAGACAAUCCAACCAACCAAAGGUAAUUUAAAAUUUUACAUUUGAUAAAAUUAAGGUGAUGUGCAAAAUAGAAAUAGGGUAUUAUUUACUGGGUGGCAGACCUGCAGUGUAUUGCAUAUCUCCCAAUUCUUGUGAUAGAAACAAUUCCAGAAAUAUAUAAGUUUCCAUAUGUGCAGUUUUCUCCUGAUAGGUAUUCCUGUCUAUAUUAUAUAUUAAGGAUAAUGCAAAUAUAACCUUAACUGCUAAUAAAAAAGAAACUCAGUGUACAGAAGAAAUAAUAGGACACUUUUAUUAGAAAGUAAGCCAGUCAAGUACCUUGCCUGAACUGUAGAGAUCACUAUAAAUUAAAUGGCUUUUAUGUGGAAAAUGGUAGUCUUGACUAUAUUAGUGGACUGUGGUUUACAUUCAUGAGAAUCAUACAAACUCAAUAUUAAAAAGGGAUUUCAGUGAUAGGCCAAUUUCUUUAUAUACUCUGCAGAGGUCUGAAUAGGAUUCAGAGAGGUGUUCUACGUAUUAGUGGCAAACCUGAUGUAUUUGCAUUUAUGGAAUAACGUAAUUCUGAUCUAAAUAUGUGGAAAAUCAUAACUUUCCACUUUUAACUUAAGCAGAGAUUGUUUAUUCCCAAGAAAACCAGGAUGUUUCAAUUCAAGUUUCAGCCAUCUGGAGACCUAUAAAAAGAUUAGAAAACAAGCAUGACAAUCACGUCCCAAUCUAUUGGUCAUUAAUGGGAAUUUAUUAGAGAAUGAGUAGGCAAGCCAUAUGAAUUCAGUAUAUCCUUCAAUAUGCAGAUUUCAAAAAGCUAUUCUGUAACUCAGCUAAAUAGCUUUUUGAAAAGCAAAAAUAACUGAAAUAAAAACAUGUAGGUGUUAAUAGUUGCUCAUAACAAUGUGUGGCAGACAUUGCUGGAAAUCUUUAGAAUAGCACAAUUGUUUCAACUUCUCUCACAUCCUAGAUAGUAAUACAGUUUUUGAAAUGAAUGUGAUAAACCUUGGCAAUAUUCAGAAUAACCAGGUGCUCAAUGUUAAGUCUUGCUAUGUAUUUUUUAUUUCUUUAUACCUUGAAAGAUGAUGGAGAGGUAAAAUAUUUAAUUAGCUAGUGAACAGACUGUCCAUAAUCAUCAUGUUGGAUAAAUUCACUUUGGGGCGCUCUGAAAUGAGCUGCAAUAUAUGUGACAGGCAAGGGGCCAGUCUUGGAGUUAGUUGAUAUGACUAUGUGGCAUUGCCAUAGAAGAUGCUGUUUUAAGACAGUAUAUUCUAUAGCUUCUAAUUGUAGAAGCAUCUCAGAUGUUCAGUGUCUUGGCUUUAAUGAUACUUACUUGGGCUCUAAAAACGCAUUUAAUUGUUAAAUGUGGCAGCAUAGUUAUAUUCAUUUGCAAAUUCACACAAAUAUGGUGGUGAUACACACACAGAUGCAUUCCAUCUCUCUACUUUUACCAACCCCCACCCAGACAUAUAGAAAGCAAAGAGAUAUUCUAAAAAUAACUGACAUUUGGUAGGGUUUUGACUUAAGG
RNAcentral lists this long non-coding RNA (1805 nucleotides) under Bos grunniens (domestic yak). RNAcentral's name for it is "lncRNA (ENSBGRG00000003521.1)". The record is from RNAcentral. Lineage: Eukaryota; Metazoa; Chordata; Mammalia; Artiodactyla; Bovidae.